RNAcentral lists this long non-coding RNA (534 nucleotides) under Mytilus galloprovincialis (Mediterranean mussel). Lineage: Eukaryota; Metazoa; Mollusca; Bivalvia; Mytilida; Mytilidae. The record is from RNAcentral.
UUUUUUUUUUGACAUACAAAACAUCUCACUAAUUAUUUUUGCAAAACUCACAUACACAAAUUUAGGCUUAUUUCGGUUUAUACAAAAUAUUUGGCAUAUAAAUUCACAUACACAAUUUGGCAUAUCAAAAUUAUCCGCUCUUUACUUGGCUGCUGGUGUACCAGGACAACGUUGCUGCCGUUCACUGCUGUUUGCUUGGCCUCGCUUUCCUCCUGUUCCUUUUUCUGGUGGCACCGUGUUUAUUAAUUAUUUAUUUAUUUUAUUUUAUUUUUUUUUUAUUAUUUUUAAACAAAAUUAUUUUCAUAUUCUUUUAUUUUUUUUUUUUUUAUUUAUUUAUUUACUUAGUCAUUAAUUUAUUCAUUUGUUUAUUCAAAUUUUUGCUUUUUUAAAUUAUUUAUUAAACUUUAUUUAUCAUUCUAAAUUAUGUCAAUUACCACAUGGUAAAAUUUAAAUUAUUUAAUGCCCAAAAAGGCGCAAGCCAGGGCCGACCGUGCAAGGGCUGUAUAGCCAGUCAAGGUCGUUAAAAACUUCCAU